This 300-nucleotide ribosomal RNA is filed under the name uncultured Pelagibacteraceae bacterium. Its description in RNAcentral is "bacterial SSU rRNA". It matches the Rfam family "Bacterial small subunit ribosomal RNA", at positions 115 to 431 of the family's 1533-position model. Lineage: Bacteria; Pseudomonadati; Pseudomonadota; Alphaproteobacteria; Candidatus Pelagibacterales; Candidatus Pelagibacteraceae. The record is from RNAcentral.
AUGUAGGUAUCCUCCCUUUGGUGAGAAAUAACACGAGGAAACUUGUGCUAAUACCUCAUAAGUCUUUACGGAGAAAGCUUUAUGCGCCAAAGGAUGAGCCUGCACUUGAUUAGUUUGUUGGCGGGGUAAUGGCCCACCAAGACGUUGAUCAAUAGCUGAUCUGAGAGGAUGAUCAGCCACAUUGGGACUGAGACACGGCCCAAACUCCUACGGGAGGCAGCAGUAGGGAAUAUUGCACAAUGGAGGAAACUCUGAUGCAGCGAUGCCGCGUGAGUGAAGAAGGCCCUUGGGUUGUAAAGC